This 402-nucleotide ribosomal RNA is filed under the name uncultured prokaryote. Its description in RNAcentral is "bacterial SSU rRNA". It matches the Rfam family "Bacterial small subunit ribosomal RNA", at positions 355 to 774 of the family's 1533-position model. The record is from RNAcentral.
UAGGGAAUAUUAGAAAUGGACGAAAGUCUGAUCUAGCAACACCGCGUGUGCGAAGAAGGCCUUCGGGUCGUAAAGCACUUUUUGGAAGGAAUAGGACGGAAUGUACUUCCAGAAUAAGUCUCGGCUAACUACGUGCCAGCAGCCGCGGUAACACGUAGGAGGCGAACGUUAUCCGGAUUUACUGGGCGUAAAGCGCGUGUAGGUGGUUCUGUAAGUAGGGCGUGAAAGCUCCUGGCGCAACUGGGAGAGGCCGUUCGAAACUACAGAACGAGAGGAUGGUAGAGGGAGGUGGAAUUCCAGGUGUAGCGGUGGAAUGCGCAGAUAUCUGGAGGAACACCAGUGGCGAAGGCGGCCUCCUGGACCAUUCCUGACACUCAGACACGAAAGCUAGGGUAGCAAACG